RNAcentral lists this ribosomal RNA (253 nucleotides) under uncultured bacterium. RNAcentral describes it as "partial 16S ribosomal RNA". It matches the Rfam family "Bacterial small subunit ribosomal RNA", at positions 524 to 776 of the family's 1533-position model. The record is from RNAcentral.
UACGUAGGGUGCGAGCGUUAAUCGGAAUUACUGGGCGUAAAGCGUGCGCAGGCGGUUUUGUAAGUCAGAUGUGAAAUCCCCGGGCUCAACCUGGGAACUGCAUUCGAAACUGCCUGGCUAGAGUUUGAGAGAGGGAAGUGGAAUUCCACAUGUAGCGGUGAAAUGCGUAGAUAUGUGGAGGAACAUCAGUGGCGAAGGCGGCUUCCUGGCUUAAAACUGACACUGUGGCGCGAAAGCGUGGGUAGCAAACAGG